Non-coding RNA from Cephalotrichum gorgonifer, 83 nucleotides. The record is from the annotation of a GenBank genome assembly. Lineage: Eukaryota; Fungi; Ascomycota; Sordariomycetes; Microascales; Microascaceae.
GUGAUGAUGGCGCAGCUGGGAGCGCGCCGGGAAGUCCGCACCUGGGCUCCCGGAGGUCCUCGGUUCAAUCCCGGGUCGUCGCA